RNAcentral lists this ribosomal RNA (253 nucleotides) under uncultured bacterium. RNAcentral describes it as "partial 16S ribosomal RNA". It matches the Rfam family "Bacterial small subunit ribosomal RNA", at positions 524 to 776 of the family's 1533-position model. The record is from RNAcentral.
UACGAAGGGGGCUAGCGUUGUUCGGAAUUACUGGGCGUAAAGGGCGCGCAGGCGGCCCUCCAAGUCAGGCGUGAAAGCCCCGGGCUCAACCCGGGAAUAGCGCUUGAGACUGGGGGGCUUGAGUUCGGGAGAGGAGAGUGGAAUUCCCAGUGUAGAGGUGAAAUUCGUAGAUAUUGGGAAGAACACCGGUGGCGAAGGCGGCGACCUGGUCCUUGACUGACGCUGAGGCGCGAAAGCGUGGGGAGCAGACAGG